This is a long non-coding RNA of Maylandia zebra (zebra mbuna), 424 nucleotides long. RefSeq lists it as uncharacterized. The record is from RefSeq and is a predicted model, not a curated record. Lineage: Eukaryota; Metazoa; Chordata; Actinopteri; Cichliformes; Cichlidae.
AAACCACAGCAGAGUCGGAAGAGUGGGGCGGAGCAAAUGUGUGCAGGACGGGAGUCGAGCAGAGAGAGCUGCUUUGUCAUGAAACGGGAGUAAAGUAGUGAACUUAGAGGAGAGAAACAAACUAAAGCAUCGAUCAUAAACCACUACCAACGUCCUGAUCGAUAUCUGCAUCGAUCUGCCCACCCUUGUCUCCUGGAUCGUAGCUGCGAUCAGCGUGAACCACGUGGGUCUCUGCUCCCUGAUCUGUUUCCUGUGUUUGGAAAGAGUUGCAGCUUCAUCGCGGAGUUUCUCUCGGUUUGUGGGCUCAUCUAAAGCUGAUCAUCAGGAGGAGACGAGCCAUUUAGACUCAGCUCAGCCACUACAGAGGAAACAAUGACUUCAACCCAAAAGGACCAACACGGAGCGAGAAGUCAGCGCUCUCAGG